CCUACGGGAGGCAGCAGUGAGGAAUAUUGGUCAAUGGGCGGAAGCCUGAACCAGCCAAGUAGCGUGCAGGAUGACGGCCCUACGGGUUGUAAACUGCUUUUAUACGGGAAUAACGCGCCUUACGUGUAGGGCUUUGCAUGUACCGUAGGAAUAAGGACCGGCUAAUUCCGUUCCAGCAGCCGCGGUAAUACGGAAGGUCCGGGCGUUAUCCGGAUUUAUGGGGUUUAAAGGGAGGGUAGGCGGCAUGUCAAGCGUGCUGUGAAAUGUCCGGGCUCAACCCGGGCCUGGCAGCGCGAACUGGCGUGCUUGAGUCCGCGGAAGGCAGGCGGAAUUCGUGGUGUAGCGGUGAAAUGCUUAGAUAUGACGAAGAACCCCGAUUGCGAAGGCAGCUUGCUGCAGCGGAACUGACGCUGAUGCUCGAAAGCGCGGGUAUCGAACAGGAUUAGAUACCCUAGUAGUC
Molecule: ribosomal RNA, 460 nt
Filed under: uncultured bacterium
Lineage: Bacteria
Description: partial 16S ribosomal RNA
Rfam family: Bacterial small subunit ribosomal RNA
Source: RNAcentral